CCCUUCGAGGUGUAGUGGUCAGCACGCUCGACGCGUAACCGAGAGGUCCGUGGUUCGAAUCCUGGCGAAGGCG
Molecule: transfer RNA, 73 nt
Filed under: Stegodyphus mimosarum
Lineage: Eukaryota; Metazoa; Arthropoda; Arachnida; Araneae; Eresidae
Rfam family: tRNA
About the family: Transfer RNA (tRNA) molecules are approximately 80 nucleotides in length. Their secondary structure includes four short double-helical elements and three loops (D, anti-codon, and T loops).
Source: Rfam by way of RNAcentral